GAUGAACGCUAGCGGCAGGCUUAACACAUGCAAGUCGAGGGGCAGCAUAAUGGAUAGCAAUAUCUAUGGUGGCGACCGGCGCACGGGUGCGUAACGCGUAUGCAACCUACCUUUAACAGGGGGAUAACACUGAGAAAUUGGUACUAAUACCCCAUAAUAUCAUAGAAGGCAUCUUUUAUGGUUGAAAAUUCCGAUGGUUAGAGAUGGGCAUGCGUUGUAUUAGCUAGUUGGUGGGGUAACGGCUAACCAAGGCGACGAUACAUAGGGGGACUGAGAGGUUAACCCCCCAGACUGGAACUAAGACACGGACCAGAAUCCUACGGGAGGCAGCAGUGAGGAAUAAUGGUGAAUGGACGCAAGUCUGAACCAGCCAUGCCGCGUGAAGGAUGACGGCGCUAUGAGUUGUAAACUGCUUUUGUACGAGGGUAAACGCAGAUACGUGUAUCUGUCUGAAAGUAUCGUAAGAAUAAGGAUCGGCUAACUCCGUG
RNAcentral lists this ribosomal RNA (488 nucleotides) under uncultured bacterium. RNAcentral's name for it is "partial 16S ribosomal RNA". It matches the Rfam family "Bacterial small subunit ribosomal RNA", at positions 28 to 507 of the family's 1533-position model. The record is from RNAcentral.